RNAcentral lists this unclassified non-coding RNA (171 nucleotides) under uncultured Cyphellophora. RNAcentral's name for it is "sequence contains ITS2". Lineage: Eukaryota; Fungi; Ascomycota; Eurotiomycetes; Chaetothyriales; Herpotrichiellaceae. The record is from RNAcentral.
UCACCCCUCAAGCCCGGCUUGUUGUUGGACGUCGGCGGGGCCGUUUAGGCACCACCCGUCUCAAAGAUAAUGACGGCGUCUGCGAGGACUCUUGUACACUGAGCUUUCGGGCACGUACUAGGCUAGCACUCCAGACCCGGUCUUGGUCGCUUCGGCGACAACUUUUACCAA